Molecule: ribosomal RNA, 700 nt
Filed under: uncultured bacterium
Lineage: Bacteria
Description: bacterial SSU rRNA
Rfam family: Bacterial small subunit ribosomal RNA
Source: RNAcentral
AGUGGCGGACGGGUGAGUAACGCGUAAGAAUCUAACUUCAGGACGGGGACAACAGUGGGAAACUACUGCUAAUACCCGAUGUGCCGCGAGGUGAAACCUAAUUGGCCUGAAGAAGAGCUUGCGUCUGAUUAGCUAGUUGGUGGGGUAAGAGCCUACCAAGGCGACGAUCAGUAGCUGGUCUGAGAGGAUGAGCAGCCACACUGGGACUGAGACACGGCCCAGACUCCUACGGGAGGCAGCAGUGGGGAAUUUUCCGCAAUGGGCGAAAGCCUGACGGAGCAACGCCGCGUGAGGGAGGAAGGUCUUUGGAUUGUAAACCUCUUUUCUCAAGGAAGAAGUUCUGACGGUACUUGAGGAAUCAGCCUCGGCUAACUCCGUGCCAGCAGCCGCGGUAAUACGGGGGAGGCAAGCGUUAUCCGGAAUUAUUGGGCGUAAAGCGUCCGCAGGUGGUCAGCCAAGUCUGCCGUCAAAUCAGGUUGCUUAACGACCUAAAGGCGGUGGAAACUGGCAGACUAGAGAGCAGUAGGGGUAGCAGGAAUUCCCAGUGUAGCGGUGAAAUGCGUAGAGAUUGGGAAGAACAUCGGUGGCGAAAGCGUGCUACUGGGCUGUAUCUGACACUCAGGGACGAAAGCUAGGGGAGCGAAAGGGAUUAGAUACCCCUGUAGUCCUAGCCGUAAACGAUGGAUACUAGGCGUGGCUU